CAGGCCUAACACAUGCAAGUCGAACGCUUCAUUAUAGAGUGGCGCACGGGUGAGUAACGCGUGGGAAACUGCCCUUCUGUUCGGGACAACGGCUGGAAACGGCCGCUAAUACCGGAUACGCCCUACGGGGGAAAGGUCCGCCGCAGAAGGAGGUGCCCGCGUCCGAUUAGCUAGUUGGUGAGGUAAGAGCUCACCAAGGCGACGAUCGGUAGCUGGUCUGAGAGGAUGAUCAGCCACACUGGGACUGAGACACGGCCCAGACUCCUACGGGAGGCAGCAGUGGGGAAUAUUGGACAAUGGGGGCAACCCUGAUCCAGCAAUGCCGCGUGUGUGAUGAAGGCCUUAGGGUUGUAAAGCACUUUCACUGGUGAAGAUGAUGACGGUAACCAGAGAAGAAGCCCCGGCUAACUUCGUGCCAGCAGCCGCGGUAAUACGAAGGGGGCGAGCGUUGUUCGGAAUUACUGGGCGUAAAGGGAGCGCAGGCGGUUCAUUCAGUUAGGCGUGAAAGCCCCGGGCUCAACCUGGGAACUGCGCUUAAUACUGAUGGACUAGAAAUCAGAAGAGGAUAGUGGAAUUCCCAGUGUAGAGGUGAAAUUCGUAGAUAUUGGGAAGAACACCAGUGGCGAAAGCGGCUAUCUGGUCUGAAUUU
RNAcentral lists this ribosomal RNA (649 nucleotides) under uncultured bacterium. Its description in RNAcentral is "bacterial SSU rRNA". It matches the Rfam family "Bacterial small subunit ribosomal RNA", at positions 43 to 741 of the family's 1533-position model. The record is from RNAcentral.